CGGCAACAGCUCAAAUUUGAAAUCUGGCCCUCUAUGGGGGUCCGAGUUGUAAUUUGCAGAGGGCGCUUUGGCGUCGGUAGCGACCUAAGUUCCUUGGAACAGGACGUCACAGAGGGUGAGAAUCCCGUACGUGGUAGCCUACCUUCGCCGUGUAAAGCCCCUUCGAC
This 167-nucleotide ribosomal RNA is filed under the name Dictyosporium sp. Its description in RNAcentral is "partial large subunit ribosomal RNA". It matches the Rfam family "Eukaryotic large subunit ribosomal RNA", at positions 99 to 261 of the family's 3401-position model. The record is from RNAcentral. Lineage: Eukaryota; Fungi; Ascomycota; Dothideomycetes; Pleosporales; Dictyosporiaceae.